AAAUAAAUUAGAAACAUUAGAAUUUGCUAUCUCUCUGAGAUUCUCUGUGAUCGAUGGCAAUGGCGGACAAUGGGCGAGUGGUGUGCAAAUGCACGGCAGCCAGGAGGAGCUUCUUCUGCUUCAGAGAAGUCAGCUUCGAUGACAAGCCCAACCGCCGAAACCACCUCCGGAACGUUUCAGCCGUUCCCGUCUUUAAAAACGGCAUCUUCACUCGCUGCAGCCCAUCUGUCGCCGGAAACAGCAUUCUCAGUAUGGAUGCACGUGAGAAUCCGAGGUCCUCGAUAUUGCCAUCAUCCCGAGAUAAGAGAAUUCCCAUAUAUGUGAUGAUGCCUGUUGAUGCUUUCUGCAUUGAUGGUUCGGGGCGUCCAAGGAUUAGGAAAAUCAAGGCCUUAACUGUAGCUCUUAAAGCACUCAAGUUGGCAGGCGUCCACGGAAUUGCAGUUGAGGUUUGGUGGGGAAUCGUAGAGCGUUUCUCUCCUCUUGCAUAUGAUUGGUCUCUAUACGAAGAGCUUUUCAAACUGAUUUCUGAGUCAGGUUUGAAGUUGCAUGUUGCCUUGUCUUUUCAUUCAAAUGUUAACUCUUCUUCUAGCAGAAAAGGAGGUGUAAGUCUUCCGCUAUGGAUCGUAGAGAUCGGUGAUCAGAAUAAGCAUAUAUAUUAUCGCGAUCAAAAUGGGUAUUCCAAUGAUGAUUAUCUUACACUCGGAGUUGAUCAUGUUCCUCUCUUUUGUGGCCGGACUGCCCUCCAAUGUUAUGAAGAUUUCAUGUCAAAUUUUGCUAAGAAAUUUGAAUCUUUUAUCGGAACUGUGAUAGAAGAAAUUAGUGUUGGCCUUGGUCCUUCUGGUGAACUUAGAUAUCCUGCACAUCCUUUUGGUGAUGGUAGAUGGAAGUUUCCUGGAAUCGGUGAAUUCCAAUGCUAUGACAAGUACAUGAUGGAUGACCUAAAGAUGGCUGCACGCAAGGAAGGAAAGCCUCAGUGGGGAGAGAGGGGACCACAAAAUGCUGGCUGCUACAACAGUCUCCCAUCUGAAGUUCCUUUCUUUGAAGAGGGAGAGGAAAGCUUUCUUUCUGAUUAUGGGUGUUUUUUCCUUGAAUGGUACAGUGGUAGGUUGCUCCGUCAUGCAGAUGAUAUUCUUGCAAAGGCAGCCAACAUUCUGAAGAAAUAUCAAGAAAACAAGCAAACUAAUAUUCUAUUGGCGGCUAAAAUUGGUGGAAUAUAUUGGUGGUACCAGACAGUAUCACACCCUGCUGAACUUACAGCUGGAUACUACAACACUGCUCUUAGAGAUGGUUAUGAUCCUGUUGCUUCAAUUUUGUCUCGUCAUGGAGCUGCUUUGCAUGUUUCGUAAGAUUCUAAGUUUUAAGCUGCUUAGAAAUGACAGAUGGUGAUAAUCCGGCAUCCUAUCUUUGCAGCCCAGAAGGAUUACUCCAGCAGAUAUGGACUGUUUCAAAGAAAAGGAUACAUUUGAUCGGGAGAAAUACCCAUGAACGAUUUGACAGGGUUGGUUUAUGGCAAAUACAUGCUAACUGUUACCAUUCCCAGGCUGAACCUGUAAGAUCAUUUACGUAUUUCAGAAUGAAUGAUAAGAUCUUUAGGGCCGAAAAUUGGAAUAACUUUGUUCCUUUCGUUAGAAAGAUGAGCACAAAUUGGUGAAGCACUUGAAAAACCCAACUUAACCAGUAAAUUUUACUGAAAAUAUCAAUGCCCUAGAAUUUUUUGUCAAGGGCCUAGAAUUGGUAAAGUAACAGUCUCAAUGCCCUAGAAUUUUUUGUCAAGGGCACGUGUAGAAGUUUGUAACUUCCUGAUAUAUUGACUGAAAUAACUUUGUAUUCCCAUGGCCGGUGUUCUUGACCUGUAAGUGUAAAUUUUUUAAACGGAUUUGGUUGGCAGUAGAAACUGAAUGCUUUGCUACCAAAAGAUGGGAAGAAUAAUUGGAAUUGCAAUUUUGGUA
Malus domestica (apple) is the source of this 1949-nucleotide RNA transcript. It is a transcript of the gene named inactive beta-amylase 4, chloroplastic-like, with no coding region annotated. NCBI's taxonomy places the organism in Eukaryota, Viridiplantae, Streptophyta, Magnoliopsida, Rosales, Rosaceae. The record is from RefSeq and is a predicted model, not a curated record.